CCUACGGGAGGCAGCAGUGAGGAAUAUUGGUCAAUGGGCGUAAGCCUGAACCAGCCAAGUCGCGUGAGGGAUGACGGUUCUAUGGAUCGUAAACCUCUUUUAUAAGGGAAUAAAGUGCGGGACGUGUCCCGUUUUGUAUGUACCUUAUGAAUAAGGAUCGGCUAACUCCGUGCCAGCAGCCGCGGUAAUACGGAGGAUCCGAGCGUUAUCCGGAUUUAUUGGGUUUAAAGGGUGCGUAGGCGGACUUUUAAGUUAGCGGUGAAAGUCUGUGGCUCAACCUUAGAAUUGCCGUUGAUAAGGGGAGGCUUGAGAAUGUUUGAGGCAGGCGGAAUGCGUGGUGUAGCGGUGAAAUGCUGAGAGAGCACACAGAACCCCGAUUGCGAAGGCAGCCUGCCAAGCCAUGACUGACGCUGAUGCACGAAAGCGUGGGGAGCAAACAGGAUUAGAUACCCUUGUAGUC
Molecule: ribosomal RNA, 460 nt
Filed under: uncultured bacterium
Lineage: Bacteria
Description: partial 16S ribosomal RNA
Rfam family: Bacterial small subunit ribosomal RNA
Source: RNAcentral